This 265-nucleotide ribosomal RNA is filed under the name Francisella tularensis subsp. novicida. RNAcentral describes it as "partial ribosomal RNA". It matches the Rfam family "Bacterial small subunit ribosomal RNA", at positions 373 to 631 of the family's 1533-position model. The record is from RNAcentral. Lineage: Bacteria; Pseudomonadati; Pseudomonadota; Gammaproteobacteria; Thiotrichales; Francisellaceae.
GGGGGCAACCUGAUCCAGCAAUGCCAUGUGUGUGAAGAAGGCCCUAGGGUUGUAAAGCACUUUAGUUGGGGAGGAAAGCCUCAAGGUUAAUAGCCUUGGGGGAGGACGUUACCCAAAGAAUAAGCACCGGCUAACUCCGUGCCAGCAGCCGCGGUAAUACGGGGGGUGCAAGCGUUAAUCGGAAUUACUGGGCGUAAAGGGUCUGUAGGUGGUUUGUUAAGUCAGAUGUGAAAGCCCAGGGCUCAACCUUGGAACUGCAUUUGAU